Long non-coding RNA from Dermochelys coriacea (leatherback sea turtle), 1453 nucleotides. RefSeq lists it as uncharacterized. The record is from RefSeq and is a predicted model, not a curated record. NCBI's taxonomy places the organism in Eukaryota, Metazoa, Chordata, Testudines, Dermochelyidae. The transcript has 5 exons.
UCCUGUGCAGCUGCAAGGGCUUGGUGGCCUGAGAGUCGAACAUCGGAACAGACUUGAUGAAUCCAUGGAAUAAGGGGUCUGCCUUUGGACUGCCUCCACCCCUCGGUUGGUGAAAUUUUAUCCCAGAUGUUACAAGCCACCCGGAGAAUGAUGUUCGCUGGAAUGUCUUAUGGUAUUCUCGCGACAUGUCCGAAAAGCGUAAAGCGCCAUCUGCGGACAAUGGCCCCUGUAGUCUGUCGACUGGAGUGACCAUAAACAUCUGCAUUACAGGUGAAGUCAUACCACUUUGUGCCCAGUAUACGAAGUUGGCAUUUUGUGUGGAAAGCCUCCAGCUUUGCCCAAUCUGAGCGGCGUAGUGUCCAUGUUUCACAGCCAUGCAACAGUAUGGGGAGCAUAAAGCUCAAACAGAUCCUGAACUUGGUUGUUGUCCUGAGGUGAUGUUGAUUCCAUAUUAAUUGUAAAUGACCCAUGGCAGAUGCUGUGAUGUCAAUCUGAUGGAGAACCUCCAUGUGAGAGUUGGAGGAACUGCUGUAAAAUGGGGAUAAUGGAUGAUAUCGGGAAGUAUCGUGUGUUACACACCUGAACUCAAAUUUGAAAGCAGUUGGAGACCCUUGGAUGGAAGAAAUUAGUUGUGUUGGCAAAAUGGUUUGGAAAUGCUCUGAAGAUUGUUCUUCUAUCAAUGUGACAGAUUAAGCUACGUCCGGUAGGUAAAGUUAUGGCUCGGACGCAAGCUGUCCAGUCCCAGGAUGACCUGUUUACAUCAGUGCUGCCUGCCUGUGGUGUUGCUUAGAGAAGCAUAGAUCAAGCUUCUAAACCUGCCAUGCCAGGAGCGAGCUGAACCAUGUGCCAGGAACAACAUGAUUCUUCCAGUAACGUUUCCCUGCCCUUGUACCAACCUGGUUCCAGCAGCCCCAGCAGGCAGGUGAGCAUGACACACCCCUGUCAGAGCAGGUACUGAGGAUGAGGAAGAACCACUUUCUCACUGGAAGGGAAUCUGACUUAUUUGAAUGUGUCCCUGGCCAGACUGGGGGGUCUGUCCUUUUCUGCUGAUACUGGGGCUUGGAACAAUGUUGAGAACCCAGAUGAUCUGUGUUGUUUUCAGAGAAGGUUCAGCACAAAGAACAUUCCCAGAUUUCUGACUCUGUGCAUGGAAGAGACCAAGCAAUGGGUAGCAAUGACCUUCCUGUUUCUUGCAAGUCUUGCAAGGACACUUGCAAAGUCUCAGAGCUCCAGUUCUGAAGGUGUGCCCCGAUGUGCCGUCAAGGCCAACCAGAGCUCUUACUGGAAAAAGGGUGAGCUCUGGGAGCGGGCAGUCUGCCUGCAAUAGGUCUGCCACACAGUAUCUCUGAGGGGAUGUCACCUCUUGGUGUUAUCCAGGGGGUGGCCCAGCCUGGCUAAGAGCCUGAUGAAGGUGUAAGAGAAGUCCUGCUGCUGUGGUCUGCGUUUGGCCCUG